UAGGACCUCAUCCAAGAGGAUCUGCGUAGACUAAUAAGAUUGGAAGGUGUGUUGGGUAUGCACAACAGAGGACCUACAAAUAUGUCAGCAGCUCCUAUACUUAUCCUAGUAGGAUCUAAUCUGACCUACUAACCAUAUACUCAGUAUAGGAAUUCGAUAAAAUUUGAUCUUCCCUUUCGGAGUAACGGUUUUGAUUUUUAGAUAACAGUGACAGACCUAGGUGCCGCAAUGGAUACUAUAUAUAUGGUUAUGCAAUGAGAGCCAGGAUGGAACACUCGAAUUAAAAACAGGUCUAUCUGGCCAUUCAACACCGAGAGAUUGUCCCAUUUUCUUGUUUUUCUGAAUUCUGAGUAAGGAUCCUUUCCUCGUUUGGUAUUCUGUUAUGAAUGUUAGGUUAGUUUUCUUUGCCUCGUAUGCAAUUCAUAAUAAAUUUUUAGGUGAAUAUAGCUGGCCUGUUGGUUGGCGGUGUUCAGUAUGACUGGUGCUCUUGAUUUGAGAAGACUCUACAACAUUGGCAACAUGACAAUUGGAAUGGUUCCUCCUCUGCUAUGUUCCACAUGUCAUGGACAUUCAUAGCAAUAUACUCGAGCACAUCAUCCUAGAGAACAAUGAAAACAAGCAUUCCCUACAUAGGUUAAGCAGAACUUAAAAUGACACUGACAAGAUUACCUGACAAGCUCAACUGAACCCCCAAAGUUUCAAUAGGUCAGGUACCCUUGUCCACUGAAUUAUAGGUGGUAAUUUCUAAUAAGUUUCACUUUAGUUUUCUGCUACAGGUGUUAGUACUUGCAUCUCAAGUUGCAAAUACAAUUACUGUAGUGCCACUUUAAAGUAAUAGUAGUUGGUAUUUUAAAACUCCAUGCAACAGUAUUUGUAAUCUGGCCUUUCAGGAUUAGGCGCAUGGUUAAGUGUUGAAUGUUCUCUUAUAACACUGAGUUGUUGAGUUCU
This is a long non-coding RNA of Sorghum bicolor (sorghum), 948 nucleotides long. RefSeq lists it as uncharacterized. The transcript is spliced from 3 exons. The record is from RefSeq and is a predicted model, not a curated record. Lineage: Eukaryota; Viridiplantae; Streptophyta; Magnoliopsida; Poales; Poaceae.